GGGUCUCACCGUGCAGCUCUGCCUGCCUGGAAGUCACUACAUAUACCAGACUGCCAUUCAACCUGCAGAGAGAUCUGUGCUCCUGCCUCCUGAGUGCUGGGAUUAGAGUACCCUGGAAGCUGCUACGGUUGUGUCCUGCCAUGGGCAGCCCUGUAAUCCUGGAUUGUGUUGAAUCUGCUGAGACGCAAGUGUUUCAUCUGAAUGGAUUACAGUUCGCUAUAGUUAACUGCACUAGAAAAGCCCUAUGUGAACUUGACAAAUAAAGUGGACAUCACCUGA
This is a long non-coding RNA of Mastomys coucha (southern multimammate mouse), 279 nucleotides long. RefSeq lists it as uncharacterized. The record is from RefSeq and is a predicted model, not a curated record. Lineage: Eukaryota; Metazoa; Chordata; Mammalia; Rodentia; Muridae. The transcript has 2 exons.